AAUAUUCGUCCUUCCUUACACAGG
This 24-nucleotide non-coding RNA is filed under the name Arabidopsis thaliana (thale cress). The record is from RNAcentral. Lineage: Eukaryota; Viridiplantae; Streptophyta; Magnoliopsida; Brassicales; Brassicaceae.